AUUGAACGCUGGCGGCAGGCCUAACACAUGCAAGUCGAGCGAGACCUUCGGGUCUAGCGGCGGACGGGUGAGUAACGCGUGGGAACGUGCCCUUUGGUACGGAAUAGCCCCGGGAAACUGGGAGUAAUACCGUAUAAGCUCUUCGGAGGAAAGAUUUAUCGCCAAAGGAUCGGCCCGCGUUGGAUUAGGUAGUUGGUGGGGUAAUGGCCUACCAAGCCGACGAUCCAUAGCUGGUUUGAGAGGAUGAUCAGCCACACUGGGACUGAGACACGGCCCAGACUCCUACGGGAGGCAGCAGUGGGGAAUCUUGCGCAAUGGGCGAAAGCCUGACGCAGCCAUGCCGCGUGUAUGAUGAAGGUCUUAGGAUUGUAAAAUACUUUCACCGGUGAAGAUAAUGACUGUAGCCGGAGAAGAAGCCCCGGCUAACUUCGUG
RNAcentral lists this ribosomal RNA (433 nucleotides) under uncultured bacterium. Its description in RNAcentral is "bacterial SSU rRNA". It matches the Rfam family "Bacterial small subunit ribosomal RNA", at positions 30 to 507 of the family's 1533-position model. The record is from RNAcentral.